CCCAUAGAUGUUCUGGGCCGCACGCGUGCUACACUGAGUGGAUCAGCGGGUCAGGUUGCGCGAAAGUGUUUCCUAAUCUUGAAAUCCGCUCGUGAUGGGGAUUGACGGUUGCAAUUUUCCGUCAUGAACGAGGAAUACCUUGUAAGCGCGGGUCAUCGUCCCGCGCUGAAUACGUCCCUGCCCUUUGUACACACCGCCCGUCGCUCCUACCGAUUGAGUGGUCCGGUGAGGCUUUGGGAUCUGAGCGGAAAGAGCGUUUCGCUGUUUCUGCUCGGAAAACUCAGUCGAACCUUAUCAUUUAGAGGAAGGAGAAGUCGUAACA
RNAcentral lists this ribosomal RNA (322 nucleotides) under uncultured eukaryote. RNAcentral's name for it is "partial 18S ribosomal RNA". It matches the Rfam family "Eukaryotic small subunit ribosomal RNA", at positions 1470 to 1796 of the family's 1831-position model. The record is from RNAcentral.